UGCAGAUGAUGUGAAGAAUAUUUGCUAUCUGAAACAAGUGUUGACACUUCCACCAAGAUCACUGAUGCA
This is a small nucleolar RNA of Trichomycterus rosablanca, 69 nucleotides long. RefSeq annotates it as small nucleolar RNA SNORD24. The transcript has a single exon. The record is from RefSeq and is a predicted model, not a curated record. Lineage: Eukaryota; Metazoa; Chordata; Actinopteri; Siluriformes; Trichomycteridae.